Molecule: long non-coding RNA, 1515 nt
Filed under: Chrysolophus pictus (golden pheasant)
Lineage: Eukaryota; Metazoa; Chordata; Aves; Galliformes; Phasianidae
Description: lncRNA (ENSCPIG00010013857.1)
Source: RNAcentral
CGCUCUCGGCGUCCACCGACACGGCGGGCCGCUCCUCGCCCUCCUCCCGCACCAGCGCGUACCUCACGCGCCCGUUCGCGCCCGCGUCCGCGUCCGUCGCCUUCACGCUGCCGAUCCGCACCGCGCCCGCCUCGUUCUCGCUCACCCACAUGCUGUACGCCGCCUGCGUGAAGCGCGGCGCGUUGUCGUUCACGUCGCCGAUCCGCACCCGCACGCUUUCGCGAGCGCUCAGCCGCGCCCGGCCCCGGUCCGCCGCCACGAUGCUCACGUUGUACUCGGCCGUCGUCUCCCUGUCCAGGGCCGCGCUGGUGCGCAGCUCGUAGUGGUCGGCGAACGCGGCCGUCAGGCUGAACGGCACGUCGCCCUCGAUGGCGCACUCCGUCCGCCCGUUGUCGCCGGAGUCGCGGUCCCGCACGCUCAGCAGGGCCACCACGGUGCGCGGCGGGGCGUCCUCGGGGAUGGACGCGCUCACGGAGCUCAGCUCGAUCUCCGGCGCGUUGUCGUUCACGUCCAGUACCUCCACGUGCACUUUGCAGUGCGUAGACAGACCGCCGCCGUCCGUGGCUCUCACUACCAUCUUAUGCGCUUCUGCUUCCUCAAAGUCCAGAUGGCCCGAGAUGCGAAUCUCUCCGGUCUCAGCGUCCAGAUCAAAGAGCUGACGGGACCCCGGCGAUGUCUGUGUGAAUUCGUACCGCACUUUGCCGUAGGAGCCUUCGUCGGGAUCCGCGGCCGACACCCGCACCACCAGCUGCCCCGGGGGGCUGUUCUCGGCCACGCGCACCUCGUACACCUCCCGCGAGAACACCGGCACGUUGUCGUUGGCAUCCAGCACCACCACCCGGACCUCAGCCGUGCCCGACCUGGGCGGCGAGCCCCCGUCCGUGGCCGUGAGCACCAAAUGCAGCUCCCGCUGCUCCUCGCGGUCCAAAGCCCUCUCAAGGACGAGUUCCACGUAUCUGCCUCCACUUUUCCCACUUCUCAAAGCUAGGGAGAAAUGCGAGUUUGGAGAGAGACUGUAAUUCUGCAAACCGUUGAUCCCCGCGUCUUCAUCUUGUGCUUUUUCUAGGGGAAACCUUGACCCAGGAGCUGUCGUUUCGAGUAUCUCCAAAACCAUCUCCUUCUGCGGGAACACGGGGGAGUUGUCGUUCACGUCCCGAACCUCCACCUCCCCGCGGAUCAGCUGCACCGGGUUCUCAAAGAACAGCUUAAAGAAGAGCGCGCAGCUCUCGCUGUGCGGACAGAUCCGCUCCCGGUCCAGCGUCUCCGUGACCGUCAGGACGCCGCUGUGCGGAUCGAGGCGGAAAUGCUGCUCGCUCCCCUCGGACACCACGCGCGCCUUGCGAGCCGCCAGCUGGCUCGGAGAAAGCCCCAGGUCCCGGGCGACGUUGCCCACCGACGAGUCCCUCGCCAUUUCCUCCGCCACGGAAUAGCGCAGCGUUUCGGCCCCGCUCUCCCACACGCAAACGCACACGAGCCACAACACCACUCGCCUCUCGCCGCCGCCGCUCCGUCUUC